AAUAGAUACCCGGGUAGUCCACGCCGUAAACGAUGAGUGCUAAGUGUUGGGGGGUUUCCGCCCCUCAGUGCUGCAGCUAACGCAUUAAGCACUCCGCCUGGGGAGUACGGUCGCAAGACUGAAACUCAAAGGAAUUGACGGGGGCCCGCACAAGCAGUGGAGCAUGUGGUUUAAUUCGAAGCAACGCGAAGAACCUUACCAGGUCUUGACAUCCCGGUGACCACUAUGGAGACAUAGUUUCCCCUUCGGGGGCAACGGUGACAGGUGGUGCAUGGUUGUCGUCAGCUCGUGUCGUGAGAUGUUGGGUUAAGUCCCGCAACGAGCGCAACCCUUAUUCUUAGUUGCCAUCAUUCAGUUGGGCACUCUAAGGAGACUGCCGGUGAUAAACCGGAGGAAGGUGGGGAUGACGUCAAAUCAUCAUGCCCCCUAUGACCUGGGCUACACACGUGCUACAAUGGACGGUACAAACGGUUGCCAACCCGCGAGGGGAGCUAAUCCGAUAAAACCGUUCUCAGUUCGGAUUGUAGGCUGCAACUCGCCUAC
This 543-nucleotide ribosomal RNA is filed under the name uncultured bacterium. RNAcentral's name for it is "bacterial SSU rRNA". It matches the Rfam family "Bacterial small subunit ribosomal RNA", at positions 777 to 1319 of the family's 1533-position model. The record is from RNAcentral.